UAAUACGUAGGUGGCAAGCGUUGUCCGGAAUUAUUGGGCGUAAAGCGCGCGCAGGCGGUCCUUUAAGUCUGAUGUGAAAGCCCACGGCUCAACCGUGGAGGGUCAUUGGAAACUGGGGGACUUGAGUACAGAAGAGAAGAGUGGAAUUCCACGUGUAGCGGUGAAAUGCGUAGAGAUGUGGAGGAACACCAGUGGCGAAGGCGACUCUUUGGUCUGUAACUGACGCUGAGGCGCGAAAGCGUGGGGAGCAAACAGGAUUAGAUACCCUGGUAGUCCACGCUGUAAACGAUGAGUGCUAAGUGUUAGAGGGUUUCCGCCCUUUAGUGCUGCAGCUAACGCAUUAAGCACUCCGCCUGGGGAGUACGGCCGCAAGGCUG
This 377-nucleotide ribosomal RNA is filed under the name uncultured bacterium. RNAcentral describes it as "bacterial SSU rRNA". It matches the Rfam family "Bacterial small subunit ribosomal RNA", at positions 521 to 896 of the family's 1533-position model. The record is from RNAcentral.